GCCGGGGACCAUCUGGAGAGGUGGCAGAGCGGUUGAAUGUACCUGACUCGAAAUCAGGCAGGCGUUAAUAGCGCCUCGGGGGUUCGAAUCCCCCCCUCUCCGCCAGAUACUGGAAAAAGCCACCUUCGGGUGGCUUUU
RNAcentral lists this small RNA (138 nucleotides) under Stenotrophomonas terrae. RNAcentral describes it as "Proteobacterial sRNA sX4". It matches the Rfam family "Proteobacterial sRNA sX4", at positions 1 to 144 of the family's 167-position model. Lineage: Bacteria; Pseudomonadati; Pseudomonadota; Gammaproteobacteria; Lysobacterales; Lysobacteraceae. The record is from Rfam by way of RNAcentral.